ACCUAAUAAGUCCAUAGUCAUCCAAGAGCCUAAGAUAACUAUAAAGUCCAAUUUCAAAGGAAUGCAAAAACCGUAGUAGUAGUAGUUACUUCCAAUAUUUGAAAAAUUUGUUUUUGAUAUUGAUUUGUUUUUCUUAAAACAAAUAGUGGGAGUAUCAUACACUACUAGACUAUAAUGAAUACAAUUAGUAGUUAUAUAUAUAUCUCCAAUAUUUUGAAAAAUGUUUUGAUAUUGAUUUGUUUUAUGAAAACGAAUAGUGGGGAUAUUAUAUGCUACUAAUUUCAUUAACUUUGGACUAGUAGUUAUAAUAGGACAAUUUAUUUGAUUGUGAUUAAAUAAAUAAAAAUGAUGAGACCUUAAAUCCCUCAACCUAACAAUAUUAAGUUGUAAGCGUAAGAGUGCUUAGAACACUUUUUCGUGGCCUUCCACCGUGGUAGGCUCCAAGCGUUUAUGACUUGUACACCGCCUUCACCCUAUCAUGGGGAAGUGACAAAGUGCAUGCUUAUAUUCAGGAGGAGUUUAUUUAAAAUAUUUGAUGAGGUUAAGGUAGGCAACGAGUAUGACCAACAUCGUAUCAUUGUGAGGUCAUGCUUGAACCCCUAGCAAAACCGGCAUGGUGGGAAAGAACUUAACUAAGAAACAUAAUGCCAACAUCGUAUCAUCGUGAGGUAUU
Molecule: long non-coding RNA, 673 nt
Filed under: Malus domestica (apple)
Lineage: Eukaryota; Viridiplantae; Streptophyta; Magnoliopsida; Rosales; Rosaceae
Description: long non-coding RNA (MDOM_LNC012844)
Source: RNAcentral